CCUCCAUUUUUGGAGGCUGGAAUUUCAGGAUCAAUGGCCCCCCUCCUCGGCUUGCAAAGGCCACCUUCUCCCCUGUCCCCACGUGGCCCUUUCUCUGCACCUCUUUUCUUCUAAGGCCCUCGGUCCUGUUUUAUCAGAGCUCCUCCUCAUGCAACCUCAGGUACCGUCCCAUUGGAGGCCAGGGCUUUGGGACAUAGGCAUCUGGGGGACUCAGUUCAGCCCAUAACACCUGGUAGGGAAGGAAUGAGGAAGACGGGGGUGGGGGGUGGCCUGAGGAUGCGAAGUCCUGCCCAGCCCCCUCCCCCCGGGGACCCAGGGGGCCACUUAUGCCCACUGUGAAGGAGCAGCCGCACCAGGGCAGGGCUCCAUGUCCCGUUCUCCAGAGGGAGCGUCCCCAGAGCUGUGCACACCGCUCCUGUCUCCUGACGCUGCUUUCCGGAAGGUUCUUCCGUAUCAUUCUGGGUCUAGGAAGAGACACACCUCGAGGUGCCUUUGGAGGAAGCAAAGCCCUGGCCUGGGGUCUGCGCCCCACGUCACCCGCUCAGCAGCUUGCCCAGACGUGCCCGCGGGCCCAGCCGACAACAUAGCAACCCGGAACCCACAGGGGCCGGUCCUCUGCGGGCUCCUGGGAACUUCCCUGUGCCACCGAGUCCCUUCUGCAGAGGAGAGGCCACCGACGCAGCCCCAGGGCGCUCUCUCCGUUGCUGCAAAGACCUUCUUCUCUAAGCUCCGUUCUCGCGGGCUCUCUGGGGCACGCUGGGGAGGGUCCUCCCCCGUGGGUGGCUCCGUGAGCCUGAAGGGCCCCGUCCCUCUGUCCUGCUGUCUUGGGUUUGCCUUUCUCCCCCAGUGACCUCAGUGGCAGCCACCGCCGGCCAUUUCCCCUGCUCCCCAGUCCUGUGGUUCUGGCCUCGUCUUCGUGGAGUCUGACGCAGGAAGCCCGAAACCCACUUGGGAGGCGUCCCAGGAGCCUUUCUCCUCCAGACCCUCCAGGGUGGUGCCAAGUGGGCGGAGGGGGUGCCACUCUCCGCCUUCCUGCAACUCAGCAAAUUGCAAUUUAUGAGCUUCCAUCCACAUGAAAGGGCCCCCGAUGGAGUCUCUCUGGAUUUAUUUGGAAUGUUGAAUUAAUUUGGAAAACAAGGGGAAAAACAACUUGGUUUCAGCCCAGCGAGGGACCGUGACAUUUUGCCCAGUCUGGUGGCAGUUUCUUCAUGUCGGCCCUGAGCACCGCCCCCCAGACCAACCGCAGGCCAGGACCCUGGUUUUGCUUUCGUCGUUGAAUCCUGGGUGUGAAAUACGGCAGCGGAGCUCAGGAGGCCCUGGGGAAUCAGUGGUGGCUGCAUAGAUGAACGGAAGAGCCCCAAAGCGUGGACACUGGUGUCCCUUGUUCAAGUCGUGGGUUGUGAAUGGCCGCGCACAGCUCUCUAUCAAAGACGGGACGGGACCUGCCCGAGCAAACAGGGGUACCCAAGGCAGGUGGCUGUUUGCUUGGUGGGUUAGCAGCCGGGUCAGUGCCAUCUCCUGGGAACAGGAUGCAAAGCCUAGACGAGGACCAGAUCUUGCUCACGGGUCAGCUGGGGAAUCUCAGAGUCCCCGUCCUGGGACUGCUGAGGAGAUAGAUUGGAAAGUGUCGUCCUUUACUCGGGCGCAGUUUGAGGAGUAUCUGCUCGCUCAGCUUCUCCUCCCCCACGCUGACAGCCGGCUCAUCCCUCCCCACUGGAGGCCAGGAGCGAAGGCCUAAAGCCCUGUCAUUUCUUCUGUCCUGUGGGCUUUGUUAGCUGGCCUCUUUGGGGGUCACCAUUCCUAUUUGCAAAGCCUGCUGUGGGGUCCCGUCUUUUGUGUCCAGGUAACGGGGAGCAUCACUCCAGAUGAAGAGGUAGGAUGUGGCGGAGGGGGCUGAGCAGUGACUGGUGCAGACCCCGGAGGCUGGGCCUCCAUGUGUCUCUUCAGAGAGGAGGUGAGGCUCAGGAAGUAGGAAGUACAUUUCCUGAACAUUGGCCGUGGGGAUGGGGGUUGGGUGACAGAAGGUCCUCUGUGGGCACAUGGGCCCCUGCUCGCUCACCUGGGUUCACGUGAUCUCUAUCCAGUCCAGAGGCGAUCAUCACCGGCCACCAUCAUCCUUCUUCCCCUUUCUCUGCCUUUUCUCCCCACGCCCUCGUCAAUUCUCGAGGCAGCAGAAUGAUCGCUUUGUGUCUGUGUGGUGCUGAGGAUGGAACCCAGGGCCUCGUGCAUGGCAGGAGAGCGCUCUGCCCCUGAGCCCCAGCCCCAGCCCAGAAGGAUCGGUUUAAAGAGCAAAUCAGAACACAGCUGCCCAGCUCCGCACCCAGGUCCCCACACUUGGACACACCCCAAGUCCCCACCCUGGCCCUCCUGGGGUUCCCCUUCGUCUCCGGCCUUCUCCGCUGGAAGAACACGGGAUCCUUUUUGAUCUUGUCUGCCGCAGUCUGGCUGGGCACAAUUCAGGAGCCACUUGUCAAAAGAAACUAACUUUAUUUUUAGAACUACAAACGCCAAACAAA
This is a non-coding RNA of Ictidomys tridecemlineatus (thirteen-lined ground squirrel), 2516 nucleotides long. NCBI's taxonomy places the organism in Eukaryota, Metazoa, Chordata, Mammalia, Rodentia, Sciuridae. The record is from RefSeq and is a predicted model, not a curated record.